RNAcentral lists this transfer RNA (70 nucleotides) under Synchonnus clientulum. Its description in RNAcentral is "tRNA-Glu". Lineage: Eukaryota; Metazoa; Arthropoda; Insecta; Coleoptera; Lycidae. The record is from RNAcentral.
UAUUUCUAUUUAUAUAGUUUAAUAAAAACAUUACAUUUUCAUUGUAAAAUCAAAUAUUAUUGUUUUAUAA